GUGGGGAAUAUUGGACAAUGGGCGCAAGCCUGAUCCAGCAAUGCCGCGUGUGUGAAGAAGGCCUGCGGGUUGUAAAGCACUUUAAGCGGGGAAGAAGGGCUUGAGGUUAACAGCCUCGGGCAUUGACGUUACCUGCAGAAUAAGCACCGGCUAACUCCGUGCCAGCAGCCGCGGUAAUACGGAGGGUGCGAGCGUUAAUCGGAAUUACUGGGCGUAAAGCGUGCGUAGGCGGUUCGAUCAGUCUGAUGUGAAAGCCCUGGGCUUAACCUGGGAAUGGCGUUGGAAACUGUCGAGCUAGAGUGUGGGAGAGGGGCGUGGAAUUUCCGGUGUAGCAGUGAAAUGCGUAGAGAUCGGAAGGAACACCAGUGGCGAAGGCGGCGCCCUGGACCAACACUGACGCUGAGGUACGAAAGCGUGGGGAGCAAACAGGAUUAGAAACCCUUGUAGUCC
Molecule: ribosomal RNA, 450 nt
Filed under: uncultured bacterium
Lineage: Bacteria
Description: bacterial SSU rRNA
Rfam family: Bacterial small subunit ribosomal RNA
Source: RNAcentral